RNAcentral lists this small RNA (103 nucleotides) under Moritella viscosa. Its description in RNAcentral is "Manganese sequence". It matches the Rfam family "Manganese Mn2+ riboswitch aptamer (yybP-ykoY)". Rfam says of the family: This RNA was originally discovered in E. coli during a large scale screen and was named SraF. The family was later found to exist upstream of related families of protein genes in many bacteria, including the the yybP and ykoK genes in B. subtilis. The record is from RNAcentral. Lineage: Bacteria; Pseudomonadati; Pseudomonadota; Gammaproteobacteria; Alteromonadales; Moritellaceae.
GGGAGUAGUCGCUUCACGCAAGUGAGGGAGUACAUCAACAUAACUGACCCGCAGGUCAUGGUGUAUUCAACUUAGUUCGAGAUUAAUAGUCCGAAGCUAAGUU